Long non-coding RNA from Brassica napus (rape), 1773 nucleotides. RefSeq lists it as uncharacterized. The transcript is spliced from 3 exons. The record is from RefSeq and is a predicted model, not a curated record. Lineage: Eukaryota; Viridiplantae; Streptophyta; Magnoliopsida; Brassicales; Brassicaceae.
GGUCUCCAAUAAACGUGCUCACCUCAACAAAAUUAUUGUACUACCUCAUAAUUAUUGUACUACAUCUGACGAUUUAUUGCUUCCCACCUCAAAAGGACAGUGAAAAUUGAAUACCCAGAGCUCAAGUUUUUCUCUCCUUUUCUCCCUUUUCUCUUACCGAGAGCUCUUUCCUCUUAAAUGCACGCCAAGACUCAUCAGUCAUCAACCAGCACCAACUCGCUACGCCUCAAACUCUCCGCCUCCGCUAAUUCGCCGUCUUCUUCAGUCACUCGGCUUGUGCAUCUUUACGAUCAAGCUCCCAUCAUAAUUCUUUGGGACAUUGGAACUGCGAGGCUCAGAACGAUAUAAAGAUCAUGGAUACAGUAAAGAGAUUUAAGUCGAAUGAGGCUAUUUGGCUAUGUGUGAUGGUAUAUCUAUGGCCUUUAUAUCGUUUUCUAAUGUCCCACAAAAUAUGGUGGGAGUCUAAAAUCCCCGACAACAUGAUCCUUACUCCGGUUACUGGUGCUAGAUUAGCUUCCGGUGGUUUUAUAGGCGCAGCAUUUGAACAAAGCAAGAGUCUCCAUGUGUUCCCAUUCGGUGUACGGGAGUAAGUAUCAAGUUUUUGGUUUCCACGUGAUCUCUGCAGGUGUCUCAUAAGCAUGGGGGUAAUGCACAAGGAGCUGAAACCUGACAACUUCUUUUUUGUAAACAUUAAAGAGAUUGCAACUCUUUUCUUCAAACCUGGUAUGGCAACAAUCUUAACCCACACCAUUCGUUUUCUUUACCGUCACGUUGCAACUUGCAAAGUAGAGUCCGGACAAUGAUUACACGCCAUGAAUUCCACUAUAAAUUGAAGUCUAAGGCAGCGACUGUGAUCCAGGUUCCUUUUCUCGUUACUCUUUUUCCAUACUUGACAAGUUCUUAUGGAAACAUUUCAUCUCAAAAAUAGAAAUGACUAAAUAACUCUUAAGAAACUUGCAGGCUCACUGGCGUGGUUACAAUGCUAUAGCUGAAUAGAAAUCUAAUAACAACCAGAGAUAAUCUUAAGACUUAUCUAGUGAGAAACUUAAAAAUAUGGUGCUUCAGUAAACCAAACUGCAGUACACUUCCUGAUGCUAAGUCUUGUUUAGUGUAUCCCAGGUUGUUUAUAUUCUAUGUCGGACCAAUUCUCGCAACUGAAGUCCAUCUUGAGAUCUCCUUCUAUGUCUUCAACAUUGUUUGCUUCAGCGCCAGUUGUAUGUAAUGAUCUUGUUGACAGCUCUGAGAACUCUGAAGCUUCAUCAACUGAUUCUGAUUUCACAUUUUCAGCUCCAUCUUCUACUUCUGCAGAUAAUCAAUCCACUAUCAAACGGAAUAAGUACAUUUAUAGGAGGAGUACACAACAUAUUGAAUUGUGUUUCCAAGUCAAAACACUUGCCUACUUUAUUCACCUUAAAUCCUUAAUAUAAUAAAGAGUUUGCAGAAGGAAUUCAUUGUUAAUGGAAUCAUCCUUCUUCUCAUCUUGUAAAACAAUAAUACAGUAUUGCAGGAACAGAGAACUAUGACAGUGAUAAGGCAGAGGGGUUUGAAGAUUACUUUUGAUGAUGAAGAGCCGUUUUUGAUCUCUGCACCAGAUAUUUUUGGAGUGCUGAUAAUAAUCUCUCUACUCCAUGGUUGUGCCUAAGGGCAAAUGUUUUAGUGUUUACAAUUAGUUCAAACUCCAAUUGUAGUUUUCUCAUGAUUUAAUGCAUACAAAAGCCACGUUGUUUCUCUACAUUUGCUUUCUUUUCAAUGCAAUUUUAUAUGUUUGAAAUC